AAUUAAACUCAAAUAUUCAGACGUGUGAAUAAACAAUUUACCAAAUGGAUAUUUCAUAUUUUCUUUUGAUUUGAAUGAUGAUGCCAUCGAUAAUGAUUUUCUAAUAUUUCAGGAUAUCUCAAUGUUUUGGAGCAUGGUGGUUCUGGAUGGAAAAAACGUUGGGUGACGGUGCGACGACCUUACGUAUUAAUAUUCAGGUCAGAGAAAGAUCCAGUUGAACGAGCUGUCUUAAAUUUAGCAACAGCUCAAGUGGAAUGUAGUGAAGAUCAAGCUGCAAUGGUUAAAAUUCCGAACACUUUUAGUGUUGUGACGAAACAUAGGGGAUAUUUGUUACAAACUCUUGGAGAUAAAGAAGUUCAUGAUUGGCUGUAUGCCAUUAAUCCACUUUUAGCAGGUCAAAUACGGU
This is a long non-coding RNA of Sitodiplosis mosellana (orange wheat blossom midge), 406 nucleotides long. RefSeq lists it as uncharacterized. Lineage: Eukaryota; Metazoa; Arthropoda; Insecta; Diptera; Cecidomyiidae. The transcript is spliced from 3 exons. The record is from RefSeq and is a predicted model, not a curated record.